CGCAGACGUCGCAGGGGGUGCAGGUGCGGCGCUUCAAGACGCUGAGCGAGCUAAUCGCCCUGUACCUGCAGCCCAACCAGGGGCUGGUCUGCACCCUGCUCUUCCCUGUCGAGAGGGAGAAAGACAAGGAGGCCGUGGAGGACAGGGACUACUCGGAUGGAGAGGAUGAGAAGCCGCCGCUGCCACCACGCUCUGGCUCCACCAGCUUCUCCGGUACCUCGGCCGGGCUCAGCCCCACCAGCCUGGGACCAGCCGUGCCGGAGGGGCCGGCAGAGAGUGCCAACGGGCUCAGCAGCAUCUCCCACGAGUACCUGAAGGGCAGCUACACCCUGGACCUGGAGGCAGUGAAGGGGGGGG
This is a long non-coding RNA of Neopelma chrysocephalum (saffron-crested tyrant-manakin), 357 nucleotides long. RefSeq lists it as uncharacterized. The transcript has 3 exons. The record is from RefSeq and is a predicted model, not a curated record. Lineage: Eukaryota; Metazoa; Chordata; Aves; Passeriformes; Pipridae.